UACGUAGGUGGCAAGCGUUAUCCGGAUUUAUUGGGCGUAAAGGGAACGCAGGCGGUCUUUUAAGUCUGAUGUGAAAGCCUUCGGCUUAACCGGAGUAGUGCAUUGAAAACUGGGAGACUUGAGUGCAGAAGAGGAGAGUGGAACUCCAUGUGUAGCGGUGAAAUGCGUAGAUAUAUGGAAGGACACCAGUGGCGAAAGCGGCUCUCUGGUCUGUAACUGACGCUGAGGUUCGAAAGCGUGGGUAGCAAACAGG
This 253-nucleotide ribosomal RNA is filed under the name uncultured bacterium. RNAcentral describes it as "partial 16S ribosomal RNA". It matches the Rfam family "Bacterial small subunit ribosomal RNA", at positions 524 to 776 of the family's 1533-position model. The record is from RNAcentral.